Molecule: ribosomal RNA, 884 nt
Filed under: uncultured archaeon pPCA15.21
Lineage: Archaea
Description: bacterial SSU rRNA
Rfam family: Archaeal small subunit ribosomal RNA
Source: RNAcentral
GGCCACUGCUAUGGGGGUCCGACUAAGCCAUGCGAGUCAUGGGGCGCCUUGCGCGCACCGGCGGACGGCUCAGUAACACGUCGGUAACCUACCCUCGGGAGGGGGAUAACCCCGGGAAACUGGGGCUAAUCCCCCAUAGGCCUGAGGUACUGGAAGGUCCUCAGGCCGAAAGGGACUCUGUCCGCCCGAGGAUGGGCCGGCGGCCGAUUAGGUAGUUGGUGGGGUAACGGCCCACCAAGCCGAAGAUCGGUACGGGCCAUGAGAGUGGGAGCCCGGAGAUGGACACUGAGACACGGGUCCAGGCCCUACGGGGCGCGGCAGGCGCGAAACCUCCGCAAUGCGGGCAACCGCGACGGGGGGACCCCCAGUGCCGUGGCAUCGCCACGGCUUUUCCGGAGUGUAAAGAGCUCCGGGAAUAAGGGCUGGGCAAGGCCGGUGGCAGCCGCCGCGGUAAUACCGGCGGCCCGAGUGGUGGCCGCUAUUAUUGGGCCUAAAGCGUCCGUAGCCGGGCCCGUAAGUCCCUGGCGAAAUCUCGCGGCUCAACCGUGGGGCUUGCUGGGGAUACUGCGGGCCUUGGGACCGGGAGAGGCGGAGGGUACCCCUGGGGUAGGGGUGAAAUCCUGUAAUCCCAGGGGAACCGCCAGUGGCGAAGGCGCUCCGCUGGAACGGGUCCGACGGUGAGGGACGAAGGCCAGGGGAGCAAACCGGAUUAGAUACCCGGGUAGUCCUGGCUGUAAAGGAUGUGGGCUAGGUGUCGGGUGAGCUUCGUGCUCGCCCGGUGCCGAAGGGAAGCCGUUAAGCCCGCCGCCUGGGGAGUACGGCCGCAAGGCUGAAACUUAAAGGAAUUGGCGGGGGAGCACUACAAGGGGUGGAGCGUGCGGUUU